Molecule: unclassified non-coding RNA, 262 nt
Filed under: Myrmecridium sp.
Lineage: Eukaryota; Fungi; Ascomycota; Sordariomycetes; Myrmecridiales; Myrmecridiaceae
Description: partial contains 5.8S ribosomal RNA, internal transcribed spacer 2, and large subunit ribosomal RNA
Source: RNAcentral
CGCACAUUGCGCCCACCAGUAUUCUGGUGGGCAUGCCUGUUCGAGCGUCAUUUCAACCCUCAGAGCUCUCUUCUGCGCUCUGGUGUUGGGGAUCGUCCGCCCCCCGCGGCGGCCGGCCCUGAAAUGGAAUGGCGGUCUCGCUGUGACCUCCUCCGUGUAGUAGUGAUACCUCGCGGCUGGAUAGCGACGGGACCACGCCGUAAAACAACCCACUGCUUUUAUGGUUGACCUCGAAUCAGGUAGGGAUACCCGCUGAACUUAA